RNAcentral lists this ribosomal RNA (311 nucleotides) under uncultured bacterium. RNAcentral describes it as "bacterial SSU rRNA". It matches the Rfam family "Bacterial small subunit ribosomal RNA", at positions 28 to 334 of the family's 1533-position model. The record is from RNAcentral.
GACGAACGCUGGCGGCGCGCCUAACACAUGCAAGUCGAACGAGCGAGAGAGAGCUUGCUUUCUCGAGCGAGUGGCGAACGGGUGAGUAACGCGUGAGGAACCUGCCUCAAAGAGGGGGACAACAGUUGGAAACGACUGCUAAUACCGCAUAAGCCCACAGUGCCGCAUGGCACAGCGGGAAAAGGAUUUAUUCGCUUCAGGAUGGACUCGCGUCCAAUUAGCUAGUUGGUGAGGUAACGGCCCACCAAGGCGACGAUUGGUAGCCGGACUGAGAGGUUGAACGGCCACAUUGGGACUGAGACACGGCCCAG